UUAGGGGUAGGGAUAAUAACGUCAAGGGUCGACGGAACGGAAUGUGAACGUCGAUUGAAGGACCUCCGUCAUAGGUUCGCGCUAUUAUUCCGCAUUCACCAAA
This is a regulatory RNA element of 103 nucleotides. It matches the Rfam family "THF (Tetrahydrofolate) riboswitch aptamer". Rfam says of the family: THF riboswitch presents a pseudoknot that joins P1-P2 and the loop of P3 and two THF binding. The record is from Rfam.